This 492-nucleotide ribosomal RNA is filed under the name uncultured bacterium. Its description in RNAcentral is "partial 16S ribosomal RNA". It matches the Rfam family "Bacterial small subunit ribosomal RNA", at positions 29 to 507 of the family's 1533-position model. The record is from RNAcentral.
AGUGAACGCUGGCGGUAGGCCUAACACAUGCCAGUCGGACGGCAGCACAGUAAGAGCUUGCUCUUACGGGUGGCGAGUGGCGGACGGGUGAGGAAUACAUCGGAAUCUACUUUUUCGCGGGGGAUAACGUAGGGAAACUUACGCUAAUACCGCAUACGACCUACGGGUGAAAGCAGGGGAUCUUCGGACCUUGCGCGAUUGAAUGAGCCGAUGUCGGAUUAGCUAGUUGGCGGGGUAAAGGCCCACCAAGGCGACGAUCCGUAGCUGGUCUGAGAGGAUGAUCAGCCACACUGGAACUGAGACACGGUCCAGACUCCUACGGGAGGCAGCAGUGGGGAAUAUUGGACAAUGGGCGCAAGCCUGAUCCAGCCAUACCGCGUGGGUGAAGAAGGCCUUCGGGUUGUAAAGCCCUUUUGUUGGGAAAGAAAAGCAGCAGGUUAAUACCCCGCUGUUCUGACGGUACCCAAAGAAUAAGCACCGGCUAACUUCGUG